Molecule: ribosomal RNA, 274 nt
Filed under: uncultured bacterium
Lineage: Bacteria
Description: partial 16S ribosomal RNA
Rfam family: Bacterial small subunit ribosomal RNA
Source: RNAcentral
AUACGGAGGGUGCAAACGUUGUUCGGAAUUACUGGGCGUAAAGCGCGCGUAGGCGGUUUGUUAAGUCAGAUGUGAAAGUCCACAGCUCAACUGUGGAAGUGCAUUUGAAACUGGCAGACUUGAGUACUGGAGGAGGUGGUGGAAUUCCCGGUGUAGAGGUGAAAUUCGUAGAUAUCGGGAGGAAUACCGGUGGCGAAGGCGACCACCUGGCCAGAUACUGACGCUGAGGUGCGAAAGCGUGGGGAGCAAACAGGAUUAGAUACCCUAGUAGUCC